UGAGGAAUAUUGGUCAAUGGGCGCAAGCCUGAACCAGCCAUGCCGCGUGCAGGAAGACGGUCCUAUGGAUUGUAAACUGCUUUUAUUUGGGAAUAAACCUAUUUACGUGUAGAUAGCUGAAGGUACCAAAUGAAUAAGCACCGGCUAACUCCGUGCCAGCAGCCGCGGUAAUACGGAGGGUGCAAGCGUUAUCCGGAAUCAUUGGGUUUAAAGGGUCCGCAGGCGGAUUUAUAAGUCAGUGGUGAAAGCCUACAGCUCAACUGUAGAACUGCCAUUGAUACCUGUAAGUCUUGAAUUCGGUCGAAGUGGGCGGAAUAUGACAUGUAGCGGUGAAAUGCUUAGAUAUGUCAUAGAACACCGAUAGCGAAGGCAGCUCACUAGGCCUGGAUUGACGCUCAGGGACGAAAGCGUGGGGAGCAAACAGGAUUAGAUACCC
This 436-nucleotide ribosomal RNA is filed under the name Bacteroidetes bacterium SCGC AAA027-M20. RNAcentral describes it as "bacterial SSU rRNA". It matches the Rfam family "Bacterial small subunit ribosomal RNA", at positions 355 to 787 of the family's 1533-position model. The record is from RNAcentral. Lineage: Bacteria; Pseudomonadati; Bacteroidota.